This is a non-coding RNA of Danio rerio (zebrafish), 329 nucleotides long. The record is from Ensembl. NCBI's taxonomy places the organism in Eukaryota, Metazoa, Chordata, Actinopteri, Cypriniformes, Danionidae.
GGAGGAUUUAGUGCAAUCCCGAGCACAGACUGGUUGCAUCUGAGAAAGUGAGUGAUGCUCAGACAGGAUCCAGACAUUAUUGAAAAAGAAAGCACCCGUUGUGCCGUGCAAUCAUGGAAAGCAGAAGUUUUAAUUCUUAUGUAAACCUGGAUUUGAACGCUAUCGACUUCACAUCGCUGUAACUGUCUGCUUUGAAGUUCACAGCGACUAGUGAAACGCGUGGAAUCUCCUCGGAUCACCUUGGAAGAAACAUGAGUUUCAGUAAAUGGAGGGUGUAAUGAUGGAGGGACGUCGUCAGGUCACCGCGUGCGCGCUGCUGAUGCUCGUCU